RNAcentral lists this small nucleolar RNA (79 nucleotides) under Sorghum bicolor (sorghum). RNAcentral's name for it is "snoRNA snoZ199". It matches the Rfam family "Small nucleolar RNA Z199". Rfam says of the family: snoZ199 is a C/D box small nucleolar RNA, which acts as a methylation guide RNA for sites on 18S and 25S rRNA. Rice snoZ199 is reported to be homologous to Arabidopsis snoR13. Lineage: Eukaryota; Viridiplantae; Streptophyta; Magnoliopsida; Poales; Poaceae. The record is from Rfam by way of RNAcentral.
GGUCAGAUGAAGAGUAUUAAACUGCAACAAUAUGAUGGGAUUAUGCCUGUGAUUACCUCGUUUUAAGUCUCUGAUGACC